CAGGGUUUGGAACACUGAGACCAGCUCUUCAAAGCCCACUCAAAAGUAUCUAAUUCUUCCUGGAUGACAUUGUUGCUGUUGAUUGUAGAGAAAAUGCUGCAUUUCUAAAAGAAGAAGCCUCAAAAAGUACAAAUCACAGAGAAGAAUACUAAAUUCACGAGAGACCUCAUCUUACCAAGCUUCCUGGGAGUUCUGGAUGCAACUCACUUCACCAAAAGAGAUAAAAACAAUGCAUUUCUUCUUAAUGCGUUGCAACUUUGAAUUCUUACGUGUAUUCCUCUUUCCUUUAACAUGGAUUUGAACUGAAACCAGUGGU
This is a long non-coding RNA of Symphalangus syndactylus (siamang), 316 nucleotides long. RefSeq lists it as uncharacterized. The record is from RefSeq and is a predicted model, not a curated record. Lineage: Eukaryota; Metazoa; Chordata; Mammalia; Primates; Hylobatidae.